Long non-coding RNA from Rhipicephalus sanguineus (brown dog tick), 413 nucleotides. RefSeq lists it as uncharacterized. Lineage: Eukaryota; Metazoa; Arthropoda; Arachnida; Ixodida; Ixodidae. The transcript has 3 exons. The record is from RefSeq and is a predicted model, not a curated record.
AAAGAACGGCGCUUCUUCUAGGCGAAGAGUCAUGAAGCCGCAAGCGUUAGCUUUCAUCAUCGUUUGUUCAGUUGUGGCUGGAGCAGCCGGGCAAGGCAUGGGUGACAUAUAUAGCAUAGCAAUGGCGCCUGUGGUUGAUGCAACUAUUACUCGACCAGACUUGGUAACAGGUGGAACAAGCUCGAGAAAAUGCGACCAGUGUUCUUGCAAACUCUCCUGGGAAUUGACAAAAUAUCGCGGCGAGACCUGUAAAAAAGAGUUUGAAUUCACUUGCACUUGCAACGCUUACACCUGCGAGAAAAAAGAGAUCGAGAAAUGCAUGGCGAAGACGGCUACCUAUUUUUGAAAUAUAGACCAUUCGCAAGCCUGUUCAUGUUUCGACGUUUAAUAAAUGCCUAUUUGAUCACCCUGUU